AGCGAGUGGGGCCCCAGCAGGGCAAAGCCAUUGCUCACUGCUGCUGCCCAUUCCCAGCCCUGACUCAUGGGUGGGGGAGGAGGGAGCGGGGGCUGAGCCAUGCAAGAUGUUCCAGGCCUGGGUAUGUCAGGGCAGCCUGGGAGCCCUCCUCAGCUCAGCCUCCUGCUCAUGGGUGUGUCUCUCCAUAGUGCUGCCUUCUUUGCAGGGGCCGCGCAGCCCCUGGCAAGCUGUACACAGGGAUCGCUGCUCCUGCCAGGGAAAUGCAGCUACCUCUGGGGUGGCGCGCAGGAGUUGUUUAAUUGCUGUGCAGCCAGUGAGGACGGGAAGUGAAAGACACGGUGCCCAGUUGAAGUUGCAGGGUGGGACGGAUUUGAGGUUGGUGGAAUUUAGCCCAAUAAGGAAAUUCAAGGGAAGGACAGGCAGGUUUCAUAACCAAGCAGAGACCUCUCCAAGACGGCUCCACUUUGGAAGAUCCCCCGCACAGGGCCCCGCCAGCAGAGCAAGCCUGGCCUGUGCUGCUUGGGGCACAAGGGAAGUGUUGGCCUCCCUGCUCGGCGGGCUGAUUCCACAAGUGGUGACUCAGGGCCGUGCCCCCGGUCCCUGGGCAGCGGCUGUGUCAAGGCCGUUCUGGGCAGCGCAGAGGAGCCCCAGUGCCUUUGAUUUUUUACAGACUUCCACCCUGGUGCCAUCGAUCCCUGCGCUGUUCUUGCCCCUGGAGCUGGGCGGGCGUGACUUGCUGCAAAGGAGGCACAGAGCGACACUGGAGAUGCAGCGGCUGGGGGCUGUGCCCUGUUUCAGGAAAGUGCCUUUCACCCCAGCGACCUCCAGAGCUCUGUGCGAAGGCAGAGGGAGCCAGAGGGUGGAUCAGCCUGGCUUGGGGCCCCCCACCCGAAAGCCGACAUCUUGGGGAACUUGACCAGCUCCAGCACAUCCUGGGAAACCCCCAGCUCUGGCUCCUCUCCUGACCCCUCCUCCAACCAGGAGGCCCCGGGGAUGGACUGGCUGCGAGGGCUGGAACGGGGCUGCCAGCCGGGCCCGGAGGAAAGCUCCACUGUGGAUGGAAUCGUGCUGGGAAGUUCAUCUUUGGAGAUUGCACUGAGCCCAGCCCCAGGCUGCUCGGCACCCUCCAGGCCCCCUGGGAAAGGCCAGUGGCUGCAGGCUCCUGGACACUGAAGAAGCAGUGGCAGAAGCCGAGGGCAGAUGACGCGGUGGAGCUGAGGGAGGGAGUCGAACCCGGAGUUUGCUGAGGAGCCUGCUCCGUGGCUCUCAUGCACAGGGCCUGGUGCUGGGAUCUCUGGAGGCUGCCCUGGGCUGGAGGGAGCAGGCGAGGAGCCCAGGAGGGACUGGAGAGCCGCAGCCUCUGCUCAUGGAGAGCCCAGCAGCCCCAUGCUGCUGUGGGAGAGGAAAUGGACUGGGCAGAUGUGUCCCUGCCCUGUACAGCCAGGCUCACUCCCAGUGUGCAGCGGAUGGGCCCAGGGCUGCCUUGUGCCUGUCUGCCUCGUGCUCAGGCUGUGCCAUGUUGCUUGCGAAUGGCCAAGCCCCAGCGCACUGGAGAGCCACGGGCCUCCACCUACUACUGUCUUGCUGCCCCGUCUUUCCCCGGGCAUGUCCUGCACGGUGCCCUUGCCUCCCAGCUGUGCCCCCAUCCCUGUCUUGGGGAGAUCCCACCCGUCAGCACAGGACAUGCCACAGGCACCAGCCAGGCAGUCCUCCCUGGUGCCUGCGGAUCUUUCCCAUCCUCCCUGCCACCUGCAGCUCUGUGCAUGGCCCCGGGGCCUGCUCUGCAUGGCUGGGGCAGGAGCUGGCCCCGCUGCGUGGCAGGGAGGGGCUCUGUCCCUGGUGUGUUUCCCAGGCCCCUGCCUGUCUGACUCAUGGGCCCAGCUGCACCCAGAUCUCUGUUGUUUGCUGUGGAUUCACCUCCCUAAAUAAAGGGUUGCUGGUACGA
Molecule: long non-coding RNA, 1945 nt
Organism: Chelonoidis abingdonii (Abingdon island giant tortoise)
Lineage: Eukaryota; Metazoa; Chordata; Testudines; Testudinidae
Source: RefSeq, a predicted model, not a curated record